CCGAGGCCUGCUGGUCCCGGCCAGAGCCGUCCCCGUCCCGCGCCGCCGCUCAAGCUCAGAGAAGGGGCGUGGGGCCACCCCGGGAGCGGCGCAGCCUUUUCCCUACGCGUUGGAGCCCUGGGCUCUGCUCGGCUCCGCUAGUGGUGCCGGAUCCAGGCGACAGCGCGACAGACACCAUUGCCACGUGGGUGCAGCCUCAGGACGUCCUGAAAGCCGGAGAGAAUCAGGUCACACGAACGUGGCCGGUCUGUUGUUAAGCUUCUGCCAAGAGCCAGGCCCGGGGCAGGGGGAGCCCUUCAGAACUGGGAAUUGUCCCUACCCACGGGAAGCUUAGAGGAUGGAGGGCAAUGCGGGGCACAGGUCAUUGGCCUGACCUCCAAGGGGAGUUCCAGGAGUUGUUUCUGGAAGAGGCGACGGGGAGGCCCCAGGAAAUGGCUUGCAGGCCGGUACCAUGAGCAGUGUGGAAACAGCUUCAGAGCAAUAAAGGGGAACGAUAGUCCUGUGUUAUCAUGUUGGAUCUUUGGAAGCAGGCUUCAGCAAUGCAAAUGGACCAAGAUGGGGGCAGCGCACGAGUCAACCAUAACCAUGGCAAGCCCGCCCAUGUGGCCUGAGAAUCUGGGUGAGGAGAACGGGGGCGAUGGAAAGGACUGCCCUCCAGCACCCAGGUCAGGAGUCUGCACUUGAUCUUGUGCAAGGAAGGAGGUGGCCAUUGAGAGAACUGACCCAGUGUGGAGGACCAAGCGAGGAAACCCCAGAGCCAGAGACCAAUUCGACAAAAGGGGUGCUGAGGCUACACACCCAGGCAGUGUCACAUGGAAGUGGGGGACAAAGAGGAAUGAACAUUUGGAGUUGGGAGCCCCAAAACCUGGAGAAUGACUGGAUUCCAGGUUAGGGAAGUGAAGGGUGGAAGAUCUCAGAGGGUUCUUACUCAUGUGGCCUGCCUUGGAUGUCACUAACCAGCAGGGAAGACACAGAAACAUCGAGCAUGUGGUUAGUUUUUUGUUUGUUUGUUUGAGAUGGAGUUUCAUUCUUGUCGCCCAGGCUGGAGUGCAAUGGCAAGACCUCAGCUCACUGCAACCUCCGCCUCCUGGGUUCAGGUGAUUCUCCUGCCUCAGCCUCCCAAGUAGCUGGGAUUACAGAUGCCCACCACCAAACCCAGCUAAUUUUUGUAAUUUUAGUAGAGACAGGGUUUCACCAUGUUGGCCAGGCUGGUCUCAAACUCCUGACCUCAGGUGAUCCACCCGCCUCAGCCUCCCAAAAUGCUGGGAGUAUAGGUGUGAGCCACUGUGCCUGGCCGAGAUGUGGUUAUUGACAUCUCAGUGGGAUUGUGACAUAGCAGGGCUGAACAGAGAUCCGGGUACUCUCUGUAUCCUGGGGUGAGACUGUCAUCUAGGGCAGGGGUCUCUGGCCUCUUUGAGAAUCUGGUGCAUGGGACAGACCCUCUAGUCUGGAGAAGCACACACAAUGUCACAUGUGUGACACGUGACAUGCAACAUCAUUCUCAAACAAUAGCCUGCUUUGGAAGGCCCCCCUGACACCCCUACUGCCCUUGGCACCCCACGGACCCCCAGUGAAGAGCCUCUAACCAGGAGAGAGCAAGGGGAGAAGAAACACCAACUGGGAGAGAAAAUGGACAAGAGCCAUCCUCAUGGGGGAUGUGAAUGGGCAAAAGCCGAGGUCCAGAGGCUGAAGACACAGAGAUGCAUCUGUGGGGGGUCUGGUGAGUGCCCAGGAAAUAAUGGAUUUUUGAAGCUUUCGUCAGUGGUUCCGGCUUGCCAGUGAACACACAGAAUUUACAAUUUUCAUUUGGUUAUUGCUAAUUUGAACAUGGCAGAGACAGUUUGAAUAUGCCAUUACAGUGUGAAAGAACAGUGGCCCCACAUUUCAAGCAGAACUAGUGACAACCAAGUGGUGCUUAAUUGUAAGAGGAACUGUCUUGGGCUUUGCGUUACUGGAGGGUUCCUGGCAUUUUAUAGACCUAAUUUGUAUACAGAUGGAAUCCUAUGUUAAAUGCAAGCGUGGUACUCGCUACUAAGAAAUCCCAUGUAAAUAGGGCCUUCUUGGUAAAGUUUAUCAUCGUUCACCUUUUGUAUUCUCAGACCCAAAGCACUGCAUUCAUUCACUCAAUUUUCCUUGCACCUCUUUGUCUAGAGACUAAGAUGAUUUAUUUCUUAUUUAACACUAUGAAAAACUAAUUUAUGGUUAGGGUGGAUUACCUCUCACAUCUCAAAUGGGGAAGGUGGCCAGGCACGGUGGCUCACACUUGUAAUCCCAGCACUUUGGGAGGCUGAGGCAGGCAGAUCACCAGAGGUCAGGAGUUCGAGACCAGCCUGGCCAACAGGGCGAAACCCCAUCUCUACUAAAAAUACAAAAUUAGCUGGACAUGGCAGUGCACACCUGUAAUCCCAGCUACUCGGGAGGCUGAGGCAGAAGAAUCACUUGAACCCAGGAGGCAGAGGUUGCAGUGAGCUAAGAUCAUGCCAUUGUACUCCAGCCUGGGCAACAAGAGUGAAACUCCAUCUCAAAAAAAAUAAAAUAAAAUAAAAUGGGGAAGUAAAAACAGCCACAGGUCGAACAUCCCUAAUGAAAUGGUUCAAAAUCUGAACAUUUCUGAGCACUGACGUGAUGCCAAAAGUGGAAAAUUCCACACCUGACCUCACAUGACAGGUUACAGUUGAAGCACCAGGCACAUAACACACAGUUUAUUCAGCAGCCCCAGGGGAAAAAAGACCCUUCCAGCCCCCUUCAGCUGUAAUAUCUCUUGUACAUAAACUUUGUUUCACGCACAAAAUUAUUUAAAAUAUUGUAUAAAAUUACCUUCAGACUCUGUGUACAAGGUGUAUAUGAAACAUAAGCGAAUUUCAUGUUUACACUUGGAUAGGAUGAUGUGUUAUUGAAGUGGCCUCAUUUGUCUGGGGUGAUACCCGAGAUUCAUUGUCUCACAGCCACAGAAAACUAAGACAUGGACACACAGAGAGUGAGGUUUAGAGUGGAAGUUAAUAGGUGAAAGAGAAGAGCUAGGUGUAUCAUUUGUAUAAGGUGUUAAAAGUUGGCU
Molecule: long non-coding RNA, 3055 nt
Filed under: Homo sapiens (human)
Lineage: Eukaryota; Metazoa; Chordata; Mammalia; Primates; Hominidae
Description: HSALNT0278560
Source: RNAcentral